RNAcentral lists this transfer RNA (60 nucleotides) under Serratia nevei. RNAcentral's name for it is "tRNA-OTHER". The record is from RNAcentral. Lineage: Bacteria; Pseudomonadati; Pseudomonadota; Gammaproteobacteria; Enterobacterales; Yersiniaceae.
GCGUCCGUAGCUCAGUUGGUUAGAGCACCACCUUGACAUCGAGUCCACUCGGACGCACCA